CCUACGGGUGGCAGCAGUGAGGAAUAUUGGUCAAUGGACGAGAGUCUGAACCAGCCAAGUAGCGUGAAGGAUGACUGCCCUAUGGGUUGUAAACUUCUUUUAUAUGGGAAUAAAAUGUUCCACGUGUGGGAUUUUGUAUGUACCAUAUGAAUAAGGAUCGGCUAACUCCGUGCCAGCAGCCGCGGUAAUACGGAGGAUCCGAGCGUUAUCCGGAUUGAUUGGGUUUAAAGGGACCGGAGGUGGAUUGUUAAGCCAGUUGUGAAAGUUUGCGGCUCAACCGUAAAAUUGCAGUUGGAACUGGGUGGUUGGAGUGCAGGAGGGGUAGGCGGAAGUGGUGGGGUAGCGGUGAAAUGCGGAGAUAUCAGGAGGAACACCGGUGGCGAAGGAGGUGGGCUGGACUGAAACUGACGUUGAGGCUCGAAAGGGUGGGGAGCAAACAGGAUGAGAUACCCGAGUAGUC
Molecule: ribosomal RNA, 460 nt
Filed under: uncultured bacterium
Lineage: Bacteria
Description: partial 16S ribosomal RNA
Rfam family: Bacterial small subunit ribosomal RNA
Source: RNAcentral